CGGUUAAGUUAUUAAGGGCGCACGGUGGAUGCCUUGGCACUAGGAGCCGAUGAAGGACGGGACUAACACCGAUAUGCUUCGGGGAGCUGUAAGUAAGCUUUGAUCCGGAGAUUUCCGAAUGGGGAAACCCACUGCUCGUAAUGGAGCAGUAUCCUUAUC
Molecule: ribosomal RNA, 159 nt
Filed under: Sutcliffiella horikoshii
Lineage: Bacteria; Bacillati; Bacillota; Bacilli; Caryophanales; Bacillaceae
Description: Bacillus horikoshii partial 23S ribosomal RNA
Rfam family: Bacterial large subunit ribosomal RNA
Source: RNAcentral